Molecule: long non-coding RNA, 364 nt
Filed under: Homo sapiens (human)
Lineage: Eukaryota; Metazoa; Chordata; Mammalia; Primates; Hominidae
Description: non-protein coding lnc-NDFIP2-28:1
Source: RNAcentral
CAUAGUCACAGUGCUCGUCAAUGCUCGUCAUGGCUGCACAUUUCCCCAAAGAGGUCUUCAGAACAUUCAGAAACCCAUUUUUACUGAGGAUGCACCAGGGCGAGCAUUUCUGAGAGGUGAUUACAUGGAUCCGGAGCCUGCUGAGCAUCCAGGAGAAGGAAUUUGAGAAGUUUAAAUUAGCAUUUGUAAUGAUGGGCCGACUCCAGUAUAAAUGAAGACGAGUAUGAAGUAAAUUUGAAAGACUUUGAGCCACAGCCUGGUAACAUGUCUCAUCCUCAGCCUUGGAUAGGGCUCAACCACUUCAACACAGUCCCAAAGAGGAGUAGCUACACUUACCUUGCACAGGCUAUUAAAAUCCAUAACU